AUGCUGCAGCAUCAGAGACAGAGGGAGCUACAGCGCCUCACGCUGACCGGAGCGCUCGCCUCCACCCCAAACUCACCCAUGAUCACUCAGUCUCCCAGCCUGUUGUCCUCGGCCACGGCCUCCCCCCUGCAGGGAGGCCAAGGAGGCGGCCUCUUCGGUCUGCAAGACAGCGUGCUCCACAAACCCGGGGCUCUAGGAGAGAAAGGAGGAGACAAGAAUGGCUGAUGUUUCCUGGUGACUUCCUGUAGGCGCAGCUCAGAUGAAGAAAUCUGCAAAGUUCAUGAAGUACUGAGGUCAACUCUUCCUCGUCUGGCAUCUUCAUCUGACAAACGUAUAUGAAUGUAAAACAGGACGUGGCGGUGGAGCGUCUCUUUGUCUUUUUUUUUAAGAAUAGAGUUUUUAUUUUUAUUUUUUUACGUUUUUUUUUCCUGGGCAGCUUUCAGAGAACAUGAGUACGGUGGUCUCUCCUUAAAUUGCACUAAUUUAGCUCGACCAAUGGGGCUGCUUCUGAAGCUCACCACUGCAGGAGGUGGGUGGGCUUUUAUUUUGAAGUUUUUCCAGCACUGAGAUCUCCUUCCACCAUUCAAACCAGUGUUUCCAGUCAAUCCGAGAGGAAAACAGACUUCUGCCGCUUGGAGCAACCUCAGCUGUCUUCCUUCAGACUCGGUCUUCCCGUUUGAGUUCCUCCCGGUUCCGUCCAGAUCUUCGGUCUGUCGCAGGCACUUCCUGUUGUGUAAAGAUGAAUAUAGUCAUGUUGAUGUGUGGUUAGUGGCAUUUCCUCGUUAAGAUAGUUAUUACCUCAGACUCUCAGCCAGCUACCCUCCGUCGUGAUCUUGUGUUACCGCGAUAGCCUUCAGUGGAUAGAAAUACCCACCAAAAACUCUUGUAAGUGUAAAAAGUCGGCAUGUCGUCAGCGGGUUUAAAUCCACACCACCACCAGAGUUUCUACAGAUCUUUAUUUCCUUCCAGUUGCUGUGGAGAUUAAGCAGAUGAAACCAAACAUUUGGAGAGCGUUUGAGAGAAAACCAGUUCUUUUUCUGAACGUCUUGCACUUUGCAUGUUGACAGACGCGGUACUCCCUAAAGGACGUUGCGUAGGCAGGUUUAUGAUUUGUGAGGGUUUUUUUUUUUGCACCCUGUCCUGAAGUUUUCGUGUUACUUCCACAGAUAACUAGAUGUUUUUUUAGCAAUACUGGAUAGAUGAUGCCUUAAUGAUGGUAGAUUCACAGAAAGGCCCACGGGUUCACGCUGUCCUCCUCUCGUUGUUGUUUGUUUUACCUCGGGUCUUCGACGGAGUCGUUUUCUUUUUAAAUAAACUACUUUCUACUUUUGAUAACUGACUUUAAAGACUUCAAACGGCUGAAGCGUGUGAAUAAAACAUACAACUGUUGGAACUUUUUUGUGUUUAAAUGCAGAAACUCUUUAGGAUUUUUUAUGCUUCAGAAAACUGGAGAGUUGAGCUCAACUCUGUUUGUGGCAGGGGCGUGUCCAGGGAGUGGCCUGGGGUAGCACAUGCCACCCUUGGAAUCUGAUUGGCCACCCCAGGUACCACCACACUCAUUGUCCACAAAAGGCUUGGGGGUAAAACAAAAAAAGCAUAACCAUUGGUGCCACCCAUGCACAAAGUUGUGCCUCACCUGGGCCACCCCAUUUUAAAAGAUCUGGACACGCCCCUGGUUUGUGAUACGUAAUGUGAUGUUCUCAGCACUGACGGGACGGCGAAACUCCAGCAUAGAGUCCAGCCUUCCUGGUUUUUCCAGAACGAUUUCCCUCCAGCUCCUCGGCAGACCGUCUCCUUGGCCUUUUCCACACCUUUUCUCUCUUCCGUUUGCAGUUUUGAACGUUAUCUCGUGUGAUGUUUAGUUUCUGUAGCAGCAGCAGCAGCUCACUAGUUACAUACUGUAGCAGCGACGGAAGGAAAACGUCGAUUUUAUAAAGGUAAUAGGUGUGUUAUAAACUAUAAAAAAGAAAGCGAGUCCAGCCACGAAGAGUGGAGCGAAGGAUUUCUGAAGCCGUUUCUUUUGUCACGUUGCACUGGGGCUCCUGGAGCCCACAUGUAAAUUCCUUUUUAGGCCUUUUUUUUUCCAGUUUAGUUCAAGUUGUAAACUUUAAAAUGUGUAAAAAAACACACUCAUCGUUUUAAGCUUUGAGGUUUUUUGGGUAACCGCGAUAAUCCAUGUUCUGAAUGUCGUACUGUGUACCUUUUAUGUUGCAGCAUUUAAGCACCUGGCUCUAAACGAGGCUUCACCUGUCGGGAUAUGAAAUGCAUGAAAUGCAGUGACGUCUCUCAAAUAAAUGGCUACGUACCAAGUAAUAACUAUGCAUCAUUUUAAAUGCAUCGUUCCCUGAAAAAGAAAAUGAAACUAGCACUGAGUUAUAAAGGAAAGCACGUUGUGGCUGUACAGUGUAUUUGUUUGACAGAAUUGAAAUUCGACAAUAUUCAGAUUAAAUCCCUGUAAAGAAUUUUGAUAUUUUUGUGUGUAAAAUUAAAAGACAACUUUUUUGUCAAUAAAUGUAUUUUGCUGAGUUGUCUCUUUGUGUGCACCACUGUCUAAUCUAUUCUCUCUUUUGUUUCAUGUUAUCUAAAAAGGACAUACGACUUUUUAUAAUAGUUCUGUUUGGUCUAUAAAAACAUUUUUGAAGUUAUUUGCACCGAGUCCCUCUCACACAAAGUGAUUUUAGCAGUUUCAUCAUGGACAGUUUUGGUACCUUCCAUAAUGAGCCGUUUCAGGGCUCUGUCACUUUAAGAAAACAAGCUGGAGCUGGCCGCGCCCAUCCAUCACCUGCUCAAGCUGCUAUUAGCUGAGAAGCUCCAAUAUCUGGGAGGGGCUUAGAGUACUAGUCUCUUGCAUGUGGGAGGUGUUUCUAGUCUACUUUUCCCAUUUGUGACAUCACAAACGGGGACUUUUUGAAAAGGCUUGCUUUAGACACAUAGUUUCUAAAAUCUAACACUGACAUAAAACAGAUGGAGGGAUUUUUUUUUCAUGUUUAGGGUGUUUAUAGAGGGAGAGGAGACCCACUCAACUCUUUAGUAAUGGUUCCUAAAGCUUUAUUGUGAAUAUGAGUGAUUUGGACAUGUUUCUUCAAUCUUCAUUUGUUGUUUUAAUUAUUGAAUUUUAUUUAUCUUCAAUUUUGCCCUUUAAACCAUAUAUUUCAUAUCAUUAAAAAGCAAUUCAUCUAAUUAAAAUGUUAUCAAAUUACAUCUCUAGUUGUGACCAAACAUUUACUCAAUUUUUCAGUUGCCUUUUAACCUAAAUGUUUUUAUUUGUAUUUGGGUUUUAUUUAUUUAUUUAUUUGAGUAGUUUAUACAUUCAUUGUGAAAUCCAAAUACAUUAAUGAUCUUUCUGUUGAAAACAAAAUACGGACCUUUUUUUAAAAGAAAUGUAAGGUCUGAGUGUGUUUAUUAGAUGCAGUUUGGUAUUUAUUGGUCUUAAAACUAAUAACUAACAAUUUUAUAUCUGACUUGUUUGAUUAGAACUUAUAAACUUAUGUUUGUAACAUUUGUAAUGAGAUGUAUUUAUUUUAUAUUACCCAUUAAUAAAUACAUUUAUUACAAUUAUUAAGUGCAAUCCCUCUAAAUCUACCGUGGAUUUAGUGUCGCCCUGUGGCCGCCAGGGGGCGUAUAAUCUGAUGAUUGUAGUGCUGAUAGCUAGCUCUAAUAUUUCCGGCUUUGCUAGCUUAUUUAAUCUUGUUAAACACGGAUAAUUAACAUAUAUUUAUUGAGUUUCAGUAGUUUGUAUUGGUGAAGACGGUCUGGCUUCCUGUUAUUUAGAGGAACAGCUGUUAACGCCAACUUGAACCC
This is a long non-coding RNA of Nothobranchius furzeri (turquoise killifish), 3801 nucleotides long. The record is from Ensembl. Lineage: Eukaryota; Metazoa; Chordata; Actinopteri; Cyprinodontiformes; Nothobranchiidae.